AACGAACGCUGGCGGCAUGCCUAACACAUGCAAGUCGAACGAAGCCUUCGGGCUUAGUGGCGCACGGGUGCGUAACGCGUGGGAAUCUGCCCCUUGCUUCGGAAUAACAGUUAGAAAUGACUGCUAAUACCGGAUGAAGUCUUCGGACCAAAGAUUUAUCGGCAAGGGAUGAGCCCGCGUAGGAUUAGGUAGUUGGUGGGGUAAAGGCCUACCAAGCCGACGAUCCUUAGCUGGUCUGAGAGGAUGAUCAGCCACACUGGGACUGAGACACGGCCCAGACUCCUACGGGAGGCAGCAGUGGGGAAUAUCGGACAAUGGACGCAAGUCUGAUCCAGCAAUGCCGCGUGAGUGAUGAAGGCCUUAGGGUUGUAAAGCUCUUUUACCAGGGAUGAUAAUGACAGUACCUGGAGAAUAAGCUCCGGCUAACUCCGUG
This 433-nucleotide ribosomal RNA is filed under the name uncultured bacterium. RNAcentral describes it as "partial 16S ribosomal RNA". It matches the Rfam family "Bacterial small subunit ribosomal RNA", at positions 29 to 507 of the family's 1533-position model. The record is from RNAcentral.